Molecule: long non-coding RNA, 1914 nt
Organism: Neoarius graeffei (lesser salmon catfish)
Lineage: Eukaryota; Metazoa; Chordata; Actinopteri; Siluriformes; Ariidae
Exons: 4
Source: RefSeq, a predicted model, not a curated record
GUGCAGGUCAGCUUGUCUUUGGAGAAAGUCAGAGGAGGUCAGUCUCUGCUACAAUUUAUAAUCAGAUGAAGAGCUCUUAUUACGAGACCACCAGACUGCUGCAAAGCACACAACCAAGACGCCUGCCACUGCUCAUUUUCGUGCGAUCAUCGAAUAGUCAAUGGCAGGGUGAUUGUUAUGCUGUUCACACAACAGUCUUGCCGGAUGCAGACCCCCAAAGUUUGCCUGUGAUUGGCUAGCAGGGGAAAAGAGAGAGAGAGACCUGCAUCUGCAGUCUAAUCACGUCACCUUACUCUGCGCAGCAACACGACAAGGGCUGACGUCAAAUGCAGCUCCUUCACUGAAGAUCCCUAUGCUUUGCUGCUCCUGGUCUUCUGGCCCCUCCUCCUCUCUGCUCAUGCUGCUCAGCCCACUCAAACCUGCUGUCUGUCCUGGCUCCCUGUUGGUGGAAUGACCUUCCCAUCGAGGUCUGAACCACCAACUCCCAGACCACCUUCAAGCACAGACUGAAGGCCCACCUCUUCAGGCUGCACCUCUCCCCUGCUUCCCUGCCCACUGUGUAACUGGGUAAUGGUCUUGACCAACCCAGGCUGUGUGCUGUCUAGCCUGGUCAUGAUGACUUAGUGUUAGCCGUUGGGGUUUUAUUUUUCUCUAUUUAGUUGUACUUUGUCAGCUCAUUUGUAUAGUUGGUUUGUUUUCCUUGGCUGUUUGCUGAUUUUUUGUUACUUCAGCAGAAUAUUACACUAAGUGCUUUUCUGUCACCUGUUCGAUUGGCACUAGAACUUCCUUGUCUAGUGGUUCAGCACUUCUUGUACCUGACUUUUGCACUUGUUGUAUGUCAUUCUGGACAAGAGCAUCUGCUAAAUGCCUGUAAUGUAAUGUAAUAUUAUGCAUUGCACUCCUGCUGCUGUUUAUUUUUAUUAAGAGUACCAAUAAUUCUGGAGGGCAAUGUCCAUAUAGAGUACCAGUCAAAAGUUUGGACAUGCCUACUCAUUCAUAAGUUUUUACUAUAUUUUGACGAUUUUCUACAUCGUAGAACAAUACUCCAUCCAUCAUCCAUAACCGCUUAUCCUGUACAGGGUCGCGGGCAAACUGGAGCCUAUCCCAGCUGACUAUGGGCAACACCCUGGACUAGUUGCCAGAUCACUGCAGGGCCAACACAUAGAGACAAACAGUCAAUUUAGAGCUACUUUGGACUGUGGGGGUAACCCACAUGGGGAGAAUAUGCAAACUCCACAUAGAAAGGUCCUCGCCGGCCACUGGGCUCAAACCCAGAAUCUUCUUGCUGUGAGGUGACAGUGCUAAACACUACACCACUGUGCUGCCCAGAACAAUACUGAAGACAUCAAACCUAUGAAAUCUCAUCUCAUCUCAUUAUCUUUAGCCACUUUAUCCUGUUCCACAGGGUCGCAGGCAAGCUGGAGCCUCUCCCAGCUGACUACAGGCGAAAGGCGGGGUACACCCUGGACAAGUCGCCAGGUCAUCACAGGGCUGACACAUAGACACAGACAACCAUUCACACCCACAUUCACACCUACAGUCAAUUUAGAGUCACCAGUUAACCUAACCUGCAUGUCUUUGGACUGUGGGGGAAACCGGAGCACCCGGAGGAAACCCACACGGACACGGGGAGAACAUGCAAACUCCACACAGAAAGGCCCUCGCCAGCCACAGGGCUCGAACCCAGACCUUCUUGCUGUGAGGCAACAGCGCUAACCACUACACCACCGUGCCGCCCUACCUAUGAAAUCAUAUGAAAGAAUCUUGAACAUAUAUGGAAUUAUGUGGUAAACAAAAAAAGUGUAAAAGUCACCAUUUACCUUGAUGACGCUUUGCACAUUACUGGCAUUAUCUUAACCAGCUUCAUGACGUCGUCACCUGGAAUGCUUUUCAAUUAACAGGUGCCUCGUCAAA